Pezoporus occidentalis (night parrot) is the source of this 342-nucleotide long non-coding RNA. RefSeq lists it as uncharacterized. NCBI's taxonomy places the organism in Eukaryota, Metazoa, Chordata, Aves, Psittaciformes, Psittacidae. The record is from RefSeq and is a predicted model, not a curated record. The transcript has 3 exons.
GGCAGCACCCUUCUUCCUCCAAACCUUGGAGCAAAGUGCUCACCUGAGCUGCUGUUUCAGUGGGUCAUUGCAGGAUGGGCUAAGUGGAGGUCGGCAGUGUGAGCUACAGCUGAAUGAAAAGCUCUCUUUCCUUCAGUGUUUUCUGAGUCCCACCAGCCUCUGACGUGUCAAACACAGCUCUCAGGACCUGGCGGCAGAGCCUCCCCACGUGCCCAGGAGCUGAUGCAAGUCACACCCGUCAUUCGGCAGAAAAUGUUGCAAUAGGAAAUCCCCUUUUCUGGCUCAGCUUUUGGCAUGGCUUCUUGCUGACUGAUGAGCAGCUUGGACACCAGAACAUAUUCA